UCCUAUGUCCUUAGGCUAUGUUUGGUUGGAGAAUAAAGGUGGAAUAAAGAGUUUAUUCCACCUUAUCUCCAAACACAAACAAAAAAUAGUAGGAACAUUAAUUCACUCCUUAAUAGCCUGUUAAGAGGUGGGAACUAGUAUUCCCACCCCAAGAUGGGAUAACCCAACUUGUUCCACCCGUAAAGAAAGAGAGAGAGAGAGAAUUUUUAAUUUAUUAUAAAAUUUAAAUUUUAUAAGUUUAAAAAUUAAUAUUUAUAAUUUUUAAAAUUAUAAAACUUAAAAUUUAAAAUUUAAAUUGUUUAAU
RNAcentral lists this long non-coding RNA (304 nucleotides) under Ananas comosus (pineapple). RNAcentral's name for it is "long non-coding RNA (ACOM_LNC001559)". Lineage: Eukaryota; Viridiplantae; Streptophyta; Magnoliopsida; Poales; Bromeliaceae. The record is from RNAcentral.